CGGAGGAAAAGAAACCAACAGGGAUUGCCCUAGUAACGGCGAGUGAAGCGGCAACAGCUCAAAUUUGAAAUCUGGCGCAAGCCCGAGUUGUAAUUUGUAGAGGAUGCUUCUGGCCAGCGGCCGUUCUAAGUUCCUUGGAACAGGACGUCAUAGAGGGUGAGAAUCCCGUAUGUGACCGGCGCGCAGCCUUUACGUAGCUCCUUCGACGAGUCGAGUUGUUUGGGAAUGCAGCUCUAAAUGGGAGGUAAAUUUCUUCUAAAGCUAAAUACCGGCCAGAGACCGAUAGCGCACAAGUAGAGUGAUCGAAAGAUGAAAAGCACUUUGGAAAGAGAGUUAAAAAGCACGUGAAAUUGUUGAAAGGGAAGCGCUUGCAACCAGACUUCGUAGCGAUGUUCCGCCGGUCUUCUGACCGGUCUACUCAUCGUCGCGAGGCCAACAUCGUCUGGGACCGCUGGAUAAGACCUAAGGAAUGUAGCUUCCCUCGGGAAGUGUUAUAGCCUGUGGUGAUGCAGCGCGUCUCGGGCGAGGUCCGCGCUUCGGCAAGGAUGUUGGCGUAAUGGUUGUCAGCGGCCCGUCUUGAAACACGGACCAAGGAGUCUAACAUCUAUGCGAGUGUUCGGGUGUCAAACCCCUACGCGUAAUGAAAGUGAACGGAGGUGGGAAGCGCAAGCUGCACCAUCGACCGAUCCUGAUGUCCUCGGAUGGAUUUGAGUAAGAGCAUAGCUGUUGGGACCCGAAAGAUGGUGAACUAUGCCUGAAUAGGGUGAAGCCAGAGGAAACUCUGGUGGAGGCUCGCAGCGGUUCUGACGUGCAAAUCGAUCGUCAAAUUUGGGUAUAGGGGCGAAAGACUAAUCGAA
This 857-nucleotide ribosomal RNA is filed under the name Ragnhildiana perfoliati. RNAcentral describes it as "eukaryotic LSU rRNA". It matches the Rfam family "Eukaryotic large subunit ribosomal RNA", at positions 51 to 939 of the family's 3401-position model. The record is from RNAcentral. Lineage: Eukaryota; Fungi; Ascomycota; Dothideomycetes; Mycosphaerellales; Mycosphaerellaceae.